This 438-nucleotide long non-coding RNA is filed under the name Capsicum annuum. RNAcentral's name for it is "long non-coding RNA (CANN_LNC000871)". The record is from RNAcentral. Lineage: Eukaryota; Viridiplantae; Streptophyta; Magnoliopsida; Solanales; Solanaceae.
UGAUACUUUAGGUUCUCCCUAUAAUUUGUUAAGCAAAAGAAUGUAUCAAGAAGUUGUUGCAUGUUAUUUUUCAUACAACAUUGUCUGUUGUCUGUUGUUGCUGUUGCUGUGGUUGUUUCUUCCACUGCUUGGGAUUGGGUAUUGGCUGGGAACCUGUAUUUGGGGCGGUGGGUGUUGAGUCCGGUGGUGUUUGCCCCCUAAUUGAGUUUAGUUUUGUUUCGGGAGUAUUCCUUUGAAUUUGUGUGAGCCUUGUAUUUCCUUGCUGCUGCUUUGAUACUACCACCGUGUAUAUCUGUAUAUUUUCCUAUACUUUCGUGUAGUUGUGGCUGUGGGCGGUAAUGGGUGGAUAGGGUCAUGUCCGAGGGGGUUGGGGAGUGGGGCCGUGGUGGGGGCGGGGGAUGAGGAGAGGGCGGGAGGGGGAGGGGGGCCAAGGUUUGG